CCCCGGCGCCACGAGUGGGAAUCGAUUUAUUGGGUCUAAAGCGUCCGUAGCCGGCUUGGAAAAUCUUUUGUGAAAUUGCUAUGCUCAACGUAGCAACGUGCAGAAGACACUACUAAGCUCGGGACCGGGAGAGGUUUGGAGAAUGCCAAGGGGAGCGGUAAAAUGCUAUAAUCCUUGGUAGACUACCAGUGGCGAAGGCGCCAAACCAGAACGGAUCCGACGGUGAGGGUCGAAAGCUAGGGGAGCAAUCCGG
This 253-nucleotide ribosomal RNA is filed under the name uncultured archaeon. Its description in RNAcentral is "partial 16S ribosomal RNA". It matches the Rfam family "Archaeal small subunit ribosomal RNA", at positions 474 to 727 of the family's 1478-position model. The record is from RNAcentral.